Molecule: ribosomal RNA, 3358 nt
Filed under: Drosophila ananassae
Lineage: Eukaryota; Metazoa; Arthropoda; Insecta; Diptera; Drosophilidae
Description: eukaryotic LSU rRNA
Rfam family: Eukaryotic large subunit ribosomal RNA (bases 1-2656)
Source: RNAcentral
UCAAAUAUAUUGUUCUUCAUAAAAUACCCCCUAACAAGGAUUUUCUUAGUAGCGGCGAGCGAAAAGAAAUCAGUUCAGCACUAAGUCACUUUGUCUAUAUGGCAAAUGUGAGAUGCAGUGUAUGGAGCGUCAAUAUUCUAGUAUGAUAAAUUAACGAUUUAAGUCCUUCUUAAAUGAGGCCAUUUACCCAUAGAGGGUGCCAGGCCCGUAUUACGAUAAUGAUUACUAGAUGAUGUUUCGAAAGAGUCGUGAUGCUUGAUAGUGCAGCACUAAGUAGGUAGUAAACUCCUUCUAAAACUAAAUAUAACCAUGAGACCGAUAGUAAACAAGUACCGUGAGGGAAAGUUGAAAAGAACUUUAAAUAGAGAGUUAAAUAGUACGUGAAACUGCUUAAAGGUUAAGCCCGAUGAACCUGAAUAUCCGUUAUGGAAAAUUCAUCAUUAAAGUUAUAAUAUUUAAACAAUAUUAUACAAAUAAUGUGCAUUUUUUCCAUAUAAGGACAUUGUAGUCUAUUAAUAUAUUAAAUUUAUCAUAAAAUAUGGCUUAUAGUUUAUUCAAAUUAUAAUGAUUGCAUUUUAACAUAGAAUAAAUGUCAUUAAUUUGAAAAAGUGUUGAUGCACUAAUAAGAAUACAGUGCGUUAAUUUUUCGCAAUUAUAUAAUGGCAUAAUUAUCAUUGAUUUUUGUGUUUAUUAUAAGCACUUGUAUGAUUAACAAUGCGAAAAAUUCAGGAUACCUUCGGGACCCGUCUUGAAACACGGACCAAGGAGUCUAACAUAUGUGCAAGUUAUUGGGAUAUAAACCUAAUUAACUAUUUUAUAGCUGAUUAAGACAAUCCCGGGGCGUUCUAUAUAGUUAUGUAUAAUAAUAUUAAUAUUAUUUAUGCCUCUAACUGGAACGUACCUUGAGCAGAUAUGCUGUGACCCGAAAGAUGGUGAACUAUACUUGAUCAGGUUGAAGUCAGGGGAAACCCUGAUGGCCAAAGACCAAUCGAACCAUCUAGUAGCUGGUUCCUUCCGAAGUUUCCCUCAGAAUAGCUGGUGCAUUUUAAUGUUAUAUAAAAUAAUCUUAUCUGGUAAAGGGAAUGAUUAGAGGCCUUAGGGUCGAAACGAUCUUAACCUAUUCUCAAACUUUAAAUGGGUAAGAACCUUAGCUUUCUUGAUAUAAAGUUUAAGGUUAUGAUACAAUGUGCCCAGUGGGCCACUUUUGGUAAGCAGAACUGGCGCUGUGGGAUGAACCAAACGUAAUGUUACGGUGCCCAAAUUAACAACUCAUGCAGAAACCACGAAAAGCGUUGGUUGCUUAAAACAGCAGGACGGUGACAUGGAAGUCGAAAUCCGUUAAGGAGUGUUUAACAACUCACCUGCCGAAGCAACUAGCCCUUAUGGAUGGCGCUUAAGUUGUAUACAUAGGUAUACAGUGCGUAAAUGUAUAGACAUUACCGCUAAAGUAGAUUUAUAUUACUUGUAAUAUAAAUUUUGAAACUUUAGUGAGUAGGAAGGUACAAUGGUAUUGCGUAGAAGUGUUUGGCGUAAGCCUGCAUGGAGCUGCUAUUGGUACAGAUCUUGGUGGUAGUAGAAAAUAAUCGAAUGAGACCUUGGAGGACUGAAGUGGAGAAGGGUUUGAAGAGUUAGUCGGUCCUAAGUUCAAGGCGAAAGCCGAAAAUUUUCAAGUAAAAAUAAAAUUUACUAUAUGUAAAAAUUAUAUACUUUAAUAAUUUUGAACGAAAGGGAAUACGGUUCCAAUUCCGAACCUGUUGAGUAUACGUUUGUUAUUAAAUGUGGGCCUCGUGCUCAUCCUGGCAACAGGAACGACCAUAAAGAAGCCGUCGAUAGAUAUCGGAAGAGUUUUCUUUUCUGUUUUAUAGUCGUACUACCAUGGAAGUCUUUCGCAGAGAGAUAUGGUAGAUGGGCUAGAAGAGCAUGACAUAUACUGUUGUGUCGAUAUUUUCUCCUCGGACCUUGAAAAUUUAUGGUGGGGAUAUGCAAACUUCUCAACAGGCCGUACCAAUAUCCGCAGCUGAUCUCCAAGGUGAAGAGUCUCUAGUCGAUAGAAUAAUGUAGGUAAGGGAAGUCGGCAAAUUAGAUCCGUAACUUCGGGAUAAGGAUUGGCUAUGAAGAUUGAGAUAGUCGGGCUUGAUUGGGAAACAAUAAUAUGGUUUAUGUGCUGGGUAAAUAAUAUGGUCUAUCUGGGUAAAUAGAGUUUCGAUCAUUUAUGGUUGUAACUUGUUCCCCGGAUAGUUAGUUACGUAUCCAAUUGUGGAACUUUCUUCCUAAAAUUUUUAAGAAUACUAGUUUGGUCAAACCAAUUAGUUCUUAUUAAUUAUAACGAUUAUCAAUUAACAAUCAAUUCAGAACUGGCACGGAAUUGGGGCACGACUGUCUAAUUAAAACAAAGCAUUGUGAUGGCCCUAGCGGGUGUUGACACAAUGUGAUUUCUGCCCAGUGCUCUGAAUGUCAAAGUGAAGAAAUUCAAGUAAGCGCGGGUCAACGGCGGGAGUAACUAUGUCUCUCUUAAGGAGAAUAUCGUAACUCGUAAGCCAUGCAAUCAAAUCAAGUCGACUCAACCUCCUCGUGGUAUUCUCUGGGUGCCAGUAUUUACUGGUAGCUGAUUUGAGCGGCGAAAGGAUCCUUGGGGUUGCCAGCCCCUCGGAACCUUAAACAAAUUUGUGCAAAUCAAGAUAACGAGCCUUGGAACCUUAAUCGUAUUGGAAGAGGAGAGGAGGCUUCUAGCCUGGAAAGCACACAAAUUGGAACCAGUGCAGAGGUUAUCCUUUCAGGGAGGGUGCCCUUUACGAUAUGUGGAAUGACGUUCAACUCCAAGAGGGGUUAGGGCGUCCACAUGUCACAUCGGCACAAAGACGAACUUGAUGCACAACGUCUUCGUGUCGAUAAAAAGGCAAGGUGGUCAGAGGAAGAAAACUUGAUGAUGGCGAAAAAGGAGGUUGAGCUUGCAGCAAGUAGUGUUUAAUUUCUUAAUAAGAAGCUAGCGGAGAUUUUCACCCACCGCAGUGCCGAUGCGAUUUCUUCCCGCAAGAGGAAGAGGAGUGAGUACAAGGCAAAACUACAGCAGAUAAGGGGGCAAUCCGUUCCCACCCCAGAAGCAGAAGAAAUGAACACCACACAGCGCCGCUCUAGUAUAAGCGAGCUAAACCGACGAGUAUCAAGAUCAGAAGGGGGACCAAUCAGACCACACGAACAGACGAACAGCGAAAUCCUUAGGGUACUACAGGGGCUACCCCCUGUAAUAUGCUUACCCCGGUGGAAAGCCGAGGUCCUGCAAAAUAUCGUAGAUGCUGCGCAAGUCUCGGGACAGGAAACCACUCUUCAAAGUUUAUCUAGUUAUCUCAUUGAAAUUUUU